UCCUGCUAAAGGAAUCUUUUGCUUGUCCUAAAAGCACAGGUGAAUAAGGGGUGGGCAAGUCUGGUGUCAGCCGCCGCGGUAAUACCAGCACCUCGAGUGGUCAGGACGUUUAUUGGGCCUAAAGCAUCCGUAGCCGGUUUUGCAAGUCUCCGGUUAAAUCCACCUGCUCAACAGAUGGGCCGCUGGAGAUACUACAAAACUAGGGAGUGGGAGAGGCAGACGGUAUUCAGUGGGUAGGGGUAAAAUCCUCUGAUCCUCUGAGGACCACCAGUGGCGAAGGCGGUCUGCCAGAACACGUUCGACGGUGAGGGAUGAAAGCUGGGGGAGCAAACCGGAUUAGAUACCCCCGUAGUCC
This 355-nucleotide ribosomal RNA is filed under the name uncultured bacterium. RNAcentral describes it as "bacterial SSU rRNA". It matches the Rfam family "Archaeal small subunit ribosomal RNA", at positions 390 to 747 of the family's 1478-position model. The record is from RNAcentral.